AGUGAACGCUGGCGGUAGACCUAACACAUGCAAGUCGAACGGCAGCACAGUAAGUGCUUGCUCUUACGGGUGGCGAGUGGCGGACGGGUGAGGAAUACAUCGGAAUCUGCUUUUUCGUGGGGGAUAACGUAGGGACACUUACGCUAAUACCGCAUACGACCUACGGGUGGAAGCAGGGGAUCUUCGGACCUUGCGCGAUUGAAUGAGGCGAUGUCGGAUUAGCUAGUUGGCGGGGUAAAGGCCCACCAAGGCGACGAUCCGUAGCUGGUCUGAGAGGAUGAGCAGUCACACGGGAACUGAGACACGGUCAAGACUCCUACGGGAGGCAGCAGUGGGGAAUAUUGGACAAUGGGCGAAAGCCUGAUACAGCCAUGCCGGGUGUGUGAAGAAGGUCUUCGGGUUGUAAAGCACUUUAAGUUGGGAGGAAGGGCAGUAAGUUAAUACCUGGCUGUUUUGACGUUACCAACAGAAGAAGAACCGGCUAACUUCGUG
Molecule: ribosomal RNA, 492 nt
Filed under: uncultured bacterium
Lineage: Bacteria
Description: partial 16S ribosomal RNA
Rfam family: Bacterial small subunit ribosomal RNA
Source: RNAcentral